GGUAGUUCACGCUGAAGACCUGUUUCCUAGGCUACAGAGGAGGACUUGUUCCUUCCUUGCGCCUAGGGGAAAGUCCCGCGCACCAUGGCAGAGAGUGCCGCUGCGCACGCAUGUAGACCUACCUCACUUCUUACUGGUAGCCCGCCAAGAAUUGGUCCCACCGCAAAUUGUGUAGGGGAGCCGAACAGCGUGUGCUGCGGCAUCACCCAUCAGUCAUGCUAGUUAAAGAGCUGAUGACUAGGCGAAGACAAACACAAAAGAAAAUAAUCACAAAUACAAUUCCUCAGUACUGU
RNAcentral lists this long non-coding RNA (293 nucleotides) under Castor canadensis (American beaver). RNAcentral describes it as "RNase MRP (ENSCCNG00000018138.1)". It matches the Rfam family "RNase MRP", at positions 1 to 233 of the family's 266-position model. From Rfam's summary of the family: RNase MRP is an enzymatically active ribonucleoprotein with two distinct roles in eukaryotes. In mitochondria it plays a direct role in the initiation of mitochondrial DNA replication. Lineage: Eukaryota; Metazoa; Chordata; Mammalia; Rodentia; Castoridae. The record is from RNAcentral.